AACUACAAGUCCCUUGUCUCCUAGCUCUGCUUUCGUCAGGUCGGGUAGUGUGCUGCUGAAAUUUGGUUUUGAACGUGAGGGGCGAGCGGGAGUGUGUAACUGGACUGGACUCAAUCGGCACAGCAGUGUUGUGGUGUCCCAAUGGCGACAGACCUUGUUGCUCAGUUGGCCGACUCGCUGGCCCAGACUGGAGUAGAGGAGGGAGAGCUGAGCUACAAAGGCCAGGGAAGAAAGCUGGAUGAUGCCCAAUCAGUGGAAGAGAUGGUGAAGGAGAUCCAGGACUUUGAGGGAUUACAGGCUCUGAGGUUGGAGGGAAACACUGUUGGCGUGGAGGCAGCACGGGCCAUCGCCAAGGCCCUAGAGACAAAGAGCGAAUUCAAGCGCUGUUAUUGGAGUGACAUGUUCACAGGUCGUCUGCGCUCUGAGAUCCCACCUGCUCUGAAUUCACUGGGAGACGCUCUGAUGCUGGCAGGUGCCAGGUUGACUGUUUUAGACCUCAGUGACAACGCCUUUGGACCAGAUGGGGUGAAGGGCAUUGAGAAGUUGCUCAAGAGCACCGCCUGCUACACAUUGCAGGAGCUACGGCUCAACAACUGUGGCAUGGGCAUCGGAGGGGGAAAGAUCUUGGCUGCCUCCUUGAAGGAGUGUCAUAAAAAAUCCAGUGCAGAGGGCGCCCCCCUCAGCCUGAAGGUGUUUGUUGCAGGAAGAAAUCGACUGGAGAACGACGGAGCCACCGCCCUCGCUCAAGCUUUCCAGUUGAUGGGCAGCCUGGAGGAGGUUCACAUGCCCCAGAAUGGCAUCAAUCACCCUGGUGUGACAGCCCUGGCCACAGCCAUGCAGCACAACAAAGGACUCCGCAUCCUCAACCUCAAUGACAACACCUUUACUGAGAAGGGUGCUAUGGCCAUGGCUCAGGCCCUGAAACCCCUCCGCAGCAUCCAGGUGAUAAACUUUGGAGACUGUCUGGUGCGGCCAGCAGGAGCCAUGGCCAUUGCAGAAACUGUGUCAGAGGGACUCCCAAUCCUCAAGGAACUCAAUCUGUCAUUUGGCGAGAUCACAGAGGAAGCUGCUCUGGCUGUGGCACAAGCAGUAAAGGACAAGGACCAGCUGGAAAAACUGGACCUAAAUGGUAAUUGUUUAGGAGAGGAUGGCUGUAAAGCUCUGAAAGACGCCAUGGAAGGCAUGAACAUGGGCGAGCUUCUAGGAUCACUCAGCGAUGACGAGGGUGAACCAGAGGAUGACGAUGAGGACGACGAUGAUGAUGAGGAGGAGGACGAUGAUGAGGAAGUGGAUGAGGAGGAAGUAGAGGAGGAAGAGGAGGAGGAGGAGGAGGAGGAGGAAGAGGAAAGCAGCAGCAACAACAAGUUAUCCACGCCUGCAUCAGCACCCCGGCCACCAGACGUCUCCUCCUUCCUCAGCUUUCCGUCUCCAGACAAACUGCUCAAACUGGGAGACAAGAGAGCUUUCCUGAUCGAGCAGCAGGUGGAUGUAACAGACGGUACAAAAACAGCUGAAGCCUUCCUCAAGAUUGCAUCUGUGUACAAGGAGGAGAAUAAAGAUGUUAAGAAUGCAGUGUUGGACAGUAUUGACGCCCUUCUGAAGAAAGCUUUUGCCACUCCUUCCUUCCAAGGCUACAGCUUUGUAUCAUCUUUGUUAGUGCUGCUUGGACUUAUCAAGAGUGAAGACAAAGUGAAGCCUGUGCUCGUGGUUCCUGGCCACCUCCAUGCCUUGGAGCACGUUGUUCGACAAGACUACUUCCCCAAAGAGAACGUGGCAGUGCUGGAGGCCUUCAUGUCCCGGUAAGGACGUGACAAUGAGCCAAUCAGCAUGCAGCUCGCAGAUGCUUUUUUUGACAAAUGAUCGUGGUCAGCUCUAACCUUCACAAAACAACAAGGCCCUGGACUCAUGUGGAAAUGCCAGAAACAGCCUCCAGUCAACACUGCAGAGAGUCAGGUCUGAGAGCUGAGGACACACACACACACACACACACACACAGACUGAACUUUGACUAAUCACUGAUGGACCUUUGGAAACCAGCACACGAGCUCAAAUUUGAAGCAAAUGAAGCAGAGCAGCACCUGAGAAGAACAGACUGCACUCAGGCGCACUUCCCUGUGUCACCACUCUCCCUCAACAACACACCCUUUUCUGGACUCUGGACUGGACUUGAAUGCUUUUGUGUUUUGAAAUAGACUAUACUCUUAUAGUGUGGACUUACUGAAGUACUUUAAGUACACUCAUUACCACAGGACAGCACUGACAACCUGGUCUUAAUGCUCUUUGUAUUCCGAUGAAUAAGAAAAGGCCUCGCACUCCACACAACCUGUUGUCUCCUGGUUUGUGACACAUGACUGAAGCACAGAUUAAACUUUGGAGCAAACUAGAAAAGUUCUGACCAGGAUUGAUAUGGACUCAAAGUAUCAGCAGUUGUACAUUUUCUAUUCAUAUCUACCUUUACUAUUCUCUUUUUAUAUGAAAUGUUUAUUAAAUUCCCAAAAAAUAUGGUGAAACAGAUAUUAUUAAAUAUGUAUUGAAUGGUAAAUAUUAUCAAACUAAGACUAGAGUUCAAUAAAACAAUCAAAAGGAAUGAAACAGGUUUAAAUGUAUUUUCUGCCUUUAAAUGAGGCACAAAGUGCAGAGUUUUUGGAUUUGUGUUGAAAAAUAAAGCUGAUUUGAGUGUUGGAUGCUG
Lates calcarifer (barramundi perch) is the source of this 2689-nucleotide RNA transcript. It is a transcript of the gene named RAN GTPase activating protein 1a, with no coding region annotated. The record is from RefSeq and is a predicted model, not a curated record. NCBI's taxonomy places the organism in Eukaryota, Metazoa, Chordata, Actinopteri, Centropomidae. The transcript has 17 exons.